UACGUAGGGGGCGAGCGUUGUCCGGAUUUAUUGGGCGUAAAGAGCUCGUAGGCGGUUUGGCAAGUCGGGUGUGAAAACUCCGGGCUCAACUCGGAGACGCCACUCGAUACUGCCAUGACUCGAGUCCGGUAGGGGAGUGCGGAAUUCCUGGUGUAGCGGUGAAAUGCGCAGAUAUCAGGAGGAACACCGGUGGCGAAGGCGGCACUCUGGGCCGAUACUGACGCUGAGGAGCGAAAGCGUGGGGAGCGAACAGG
Molecule: ribosomal RNA, 254 nt
Filed under: uncultured bacterium
Lineage: Bacteria
Description: partial 16S ribosomal RNA
Rfam family: Bacterial small subunit ribosomal RNA
Source: RNAcentral